UUAAUAUGUGUUCCAUACAUUGAAUAUAUUUUACACGGAGACCUCAACUGGGAUUUUUUACUGCAGCAUGUGUUGAUCAUUGUCCUACUCCAAAAUUGUCCGUGACGUACAACCUUAUUUUUUAUUUUAGAACACAGGCAAGAGUCUCAGUUGUUGUAGAUAUGGAGCUGAUGCUUGGUUGGAAGAAACUUUUGUGUUAGAUUCAGAGGCUUGCUGCUUAUAAUUGACAAACAAUAUUGCUAUGGGGGGAUUCAGUUCCAAAUCUUCCCAUGUAAGCGAUACGUCUUGCACAUCGGGUUAGCGCUGCUGAGUGUUUCUGCGGGCCUCUCCCUGACGACGCCGACGACUAGGGCUCAGCUCCCAGUUUAAUGGUACCAACCACGUGCACAACUCCUCGAUCUGUGCACAAAGUUAAGGCAAGCUCUUCGUAUGCCUCCUUGUGUUGCAUAGUCACUAGAUACAUUUGACUGGGUUUUCUCUGAUUCAAUGAUACGGUUGUCUUCAUUGCAAUAGAUGUAUCUGCACAAUCAAAGGAUGCACCUACAGCGUGGCGCAAAUACAAUGCACUGUACCACAACCAUGCCUAACAUCUACAUGCAUGGCACAUGAACGGAAUGCAUGGUGGAUAAGGCCAUGCGGGUUAAGAAGAGAAGCAUCACGUUCACUAAUUAUCUUUGUUAUUUAAAUAACCAUAUGGCAAUGCUCUUCUUAAAAGUUCCCUUGGAUUAGAAGCAUUUGCUUGCUGAUGUUCGUGAAGACGUGAUAGGAACAUCAUGUUCUUGAUCACUCAAAUAAGGUCAAUACUGUAGUUUUUUUUACAGGUGUAAUCUUCGCUAAAUUCCUACAGUCUCAUUAGUAAUUAGGUGUGGAAACAUAUGUUUUCAAUCCAGUGUGAUCUGAUAUUUUCAUUUUAAGAGAUAAAACCUUCCUAUUUGGCUUUCACUAAGGACCAAGUUAACAAGAAUAAGGAUGAUUAGGAGUUUAUCCAGUGCUAUAACUUUUAUUUUAGUUAGGUAUCAAAUCAGCUAAUAUCGUAGAAACUUGGAUAGUGUCAAGAUUGACUAGCAUGUUAAGUCAAAAACUGCACAACUAAGAUUAUUUUUUCAUUAGUCGAUAACUAAUUUGAUCAUACUGUAAACCUCUUAGAAGGGUAGCAACAUGUGCUUCCGCAUUACAUAUCCAUGUAAGUUUCUCAGGUACGUUGAAAUAUAUUUUGGUCCGCAUUCAAAUCCAAAUUGACACCAUGCUAUAUAGUUUGAGGGUAGAAUAUGUACUCCAGAGUAUGCAAGAGAAAAGGUAAUCCAUGAUGUCUAUUUGGAUAUGCAGGGAACAGAGAAAAGGUUCUGUCAUACUAACAUUUUAUGCUUAUAUGAAUUAUAUGAACGCAUAUUUAUUGGACAUAGGCAAUAGAGAGAAUAUUCUUUCAUAUUUACAUUUAUGCUGAUAAGCUACUUUAUAGUUGUUGUUACCAUGAUCGCAUCUGUUUACCACAUUUCCUGUGACUGAUAAGUUUAUGUUUUGUGGAUCACCAUGAAUGUGUGAGCAUUGAUCGUUGACAAGGUGUGUUCUUAACAUGGCAAUAUUGCAUGGGAAUGUCUCAUAAUAUCAAGUAUAAUAAGAUGGUAUUCAUGUUUUUAAUUAACAACAAAAUUUGUUUAUGACACCGCCAAAAUACGUGUAAAAAAUAGUCUAUAAGCCAAGAUUGCACAACCAAAUCCACCUAAGUAUAAUUUCUUCAGUUCUUGAUUGGCAUAGAUCAAUAUGGUAGGAUAUGCAUGAUGCAGUUGUCCACCUCCAUAGCAUAUUACUUCUCAUAUAAGCUUCUUUAUCUAUUUCAUAUCCAAUGUUUAAGGAGAUAGAAAUGUGGGCCUGGCUUGCUUCCUUUUCUUACUCACAUUGUCCUUUGACCAAACAUGCUCUAUUUACAUGAUCCUCGAUUUUGAACAUAGGAGAAAGAGAUCUCCAAUCCUUGAAAAUCACAAAUUAUUUAUGGCGUCAACCUAAGCUAUAUACAAUUAGAAGAAUGCUUAAGGUGAAGUCAAUGUUUUAAACUUUUGACAACUAAUAUAUAUGAAAGUACCUGGAUUGCACAUGUAAAAAUAAAUAGGUUGUAUUCUUUUUACAAAAUAAUAUAUAUCAUUUCACAUUGGAGACUAAAUGCCAAACAUCGUUCUUUUGGGAUAGGGAGUAAAUUGUUAAAAGUGCAUUAGAAGUAAACUGUCUAAUCUAACUAUAGCAAAACAUAUAAUGAAUAUACAACAAUAAAUCUUCUAAGCUUUAACAAAUUUUUGUGAACAUAAUUGGCCUUGCACUAAAAGUUACCAAUAAAAUCUAUAGAUUUUGGUAUUAGCAACAUUUCAAUCUCAAAUAUUAUCUUCAUUUAAAUACUUCCAUGUUUUUCCUUAUUUUUCUUACGCUACAAAAGGGUUGGUCAAGCAUCUCAAAUUAGGUCCAAAGGUUGACUCUGUUUGGUCGCUUUCUUGCUUAGUUUUCUAUAGCACUUAUUUCUUUUGUUGGUUCAGUCACAUGGUUGGAGUGCACACUAACUAUUGCUUACGAGCAACCCGAUGGUCAAGAGCUAAUAUUUCUUUCCAAUUAAGCCACCAAUUUGGUAAAAACUAAGGAAAGAAUAAAAAAAAAUCGUGUUCGUUUACAUGACAAAUUAUUUUUGUUUGUUUAAAGGGAUGGCAUCACGAUAUUCAGAUCAGAUGAAGGCUGCUAUCUGAUAAGGUUGGAAGAAACAUUGUUUACAAGGAUAUAAUAUAGAUGUUUGCUUUGUUAUCAGUUAUUACCACUAUAAUUAGAACAAGUACAACCAAUAUUAUCGAUGUAAAUGUAAUAUGGUGAAGUCAAUGCAGC
RNAcentral lists this long non-coding RNA (2859 nucleotides) under Hordeum vulgare. Its description in RNAcentral is "long non-coding RNA (HVUL_LNC017789)". The record is from RNAcentral. Lineage: Eukaryota; Viridiplantae; Streptophyta; Magnoliopsida; Poales; Poaceae.